RNAcentral lists this ribosomal RNA (432 nucleotides) under uncultured bacterium. RNAcentral's name for it is "partial 16S ribosomal RNA". It matches the Rfam family "Bacterial small subunit ribosomal RNA", at positions 29 to 507 of the family's 1533-position model. The record is from RNAcentral.
AACGAACGCUGGCGGCAGGCCUAACACAUGCAAGUCGAGCGAGCAUUUCGGUGCUAGCGGCGGACGGGUGAGUAACGCGUGGGAACGUGCCCUUUCUGCGGAAUAGUCCUGGGAAACUGGGGGUAAUACCGCAUACGCCCUUUUGGGGAAAGAUUUAUCGGAGAAGGAUCGGCCCGCGUUGGAUUAGGUAGUUGGUGGGGUAAUGGCCCACCAAGCCGACGAUCCAUAGCUGGUUUGAGAGGAUGAUCAGCCACACUGGGACUGAGACACGGCCCAGACUCCUACGGGAGGCAGCAGUGGGGAAUCUUAGACAAUGGGGGCAACCCUGAUCUAGCCAUGCCGCGUGAGUGAUGAAGGCCUUAGGGUUGUAAAGCUCUUUCAGCUGGGAAGAUAAUGACGGUACCAGCAGAAGAAGCCCCGGCUAACUCCGUG